Long non-coding RNA from Vombatus ursinus (common wombat), 694 nucleotides. RefSeq lists it as uncharacterized. Lineage: Eukaryota; Metazoa; Chordata; Mammalia; Diprotodontia; Vombatidae. The record is from RefSeq and is a predicted model, not a curated record. The transcript is spliced from 3 exons.
CUCCCAUCUAUUUAAGCCCCCCCCCCCCAUUGUCCCCUGGUCCUGUCGGUCCGGCUCUCCAGGCUAAGCACCCAGCAUCCCACCACCAACCUGCCAAUCUCGCCUUCUGGGUGCCUCCUCCUUUCCCGGUCGCCACGAAGUCCCGGAGAAGUGGAUUCAAUUCAUUGAAAAUUCCGAUAGGCUUUAGAAGGCUGACUGGGCAUGCCCAGAUCUUGGUCAGGUUUGGGUCAAAAGUAGGAAGCCAGGAGCUGGUAAUAAAGCCCUCCCACCGCCCCCGGGACUCUAUGGCUUAAAUAAGUGGCCACACUGUGUGGGCGAUGUAGGCAGGACUGGACUGCUUGUAUCCUGUCUCGGCUAGAGCUCCCUCUCUACCCCACCUCCGGGGAGCUGUAGCGAUUUGACCGGCUUUGUACUUGCAGCAAGGACUCCCUGAUCGUACCAGGAAGUGUCGUCCCUUGUUCAGGUCUGCCCCAGCUCAGCUCAGCCUACUGGGAAAAAAAAAGCCAUUGAUUAAAUUUAAGGAGAUUCAUAAUAGUAUUGAAUGAAUGCUUUCAAAGACUGGGAGUGCCUAAGAAGGUUAAAAAAUUUGGAAAAUUGAGCUUGCAAGGAAAUUAUGGAAAUUGUGUAACUUCCUUCCAUAUGAAUACUUUUUUAGCUGUGAUGAACUGAUGCAAAAUGAAAUGAGCAAAACCAG